GUAAGGAAUAUUGGUCAAUGGACGAAAGUCUGAACCAGCCAUGCCGCGUGGAGGAUGAAGGUCCUCUGGAUUGUAAACUUCUUUUAUAUGGGACGAAAAAAGGCUUUUCUAAGUCGUCUGACGGUACCAUAUGAAUAAGCACCGGCUAACUCCGUGCCAGCAGCCGCGGUAAUACGGAGGGUGCAAGCGUUAUCCGGAUUCACUGGGUUUAAAGGGUGCGUAGGUGGAUUGCCAAGUCCGUGGUGAAAUCUUCGAGCUUAACUCGGAAACUGCCAUGGAUACUGGUGAUCUUGAAUAUCGUGGAGGUUAGCGGAAUAUGUCAUGUAGCGGUGAAAUGCUUAGAUAUGACAUAGAACACCAAUUGCGAAGGCAGCUGGCUACGCGAAUAUUGACACUCAGGCACGAAAGCGUGGGGAUCAAACAGGAUUAGAAACCCUGGUAGUCC
This 445-nucleotide ribosomal RNA is filed under the name uncultured bacterium. RNAcentral's name for it is "bacterial SSU rRNA". It matches the Rfam family "Bacterial small subunit ribosomal RNA", at positions 354 to 796 of the family's 1533-position model. The record is from RNAcentral.